RNAcentral lists this ribosomal RNA (408 nucleotides) under Trichodina rectuncinata. RNAcentral describes it as "SSU rRNA". It matches the Rfam family "Eukaryotic small subunit ribosomal RNA", at positions 1253 to 1690 of the family's 1831-position model. The record is from RNAcentral. Lineage: Eukaryota; Ciliophora; Oligohymenophorea; Mobilida; Trichodinidae.
AGCUCUUUCUUGAUUCUACGGGUGGUGGUGCAUGGCCGUUCUUAGUUGGUGGAGUGAUUUGUCAGGUUAAUUCCUUUAACGAACGAGACCUUAACCUGCUAACUAGCACCCCGUCUCAACGGAAGGUGCUUCUUAGAGGGACUGUGCGAGCCUAUCGCACGGAAGUUUGAGGCAAUAACAGGUCUGUGAUGCCCUUAGAUGUCCUGGGCCGCACGCGCGCUACAAUGGCACACGCAGCGAGUAUCCUGAUCCGAAGGGAACCGGGUAACCUGCCAGGGUGUGCCGUGAUUGGGAUCGACCCUUGCAAUUAUGGGUCGUGAACGAGGAAUUCCUAGUAAGCGCAAGUCAUCAGCUUGCGCUGAUUACGUCCCUGCCCUUUGUACACACCGCCCGUCGCUCCUACCGAUU